This 2964-nucleotide long non-coding RNA is filed under the name Linum usitatissimum (flax). RNAcentral describes it as "long non-coding RNA (LUSI_LNC003559)". The record is from RNAcentral. Lineage: Eukaryota; Viridiplantae; Streptophyta; Magnoliopsida; Malpighiales; Linaceae.
GCGGUGGUUACGGAGUCCCCAGAGGUGGUUAUGGCAUGGGUUCAGGUGUGACCAGCGCCUGGGAUUAGUCCAGUUAGCGAGCAAGAAAGCUCCCCAAGUCAUAUUUACUGUUUGGUUUGAACACGUAUAUGGAUGGAUCUGGUUCCGAAACUUCCAUUAGAACUAAGUACGAGAAAUUUUCCGAGUAGUAGGUUCUACUAACAAUGAAGGAUUUGUGUACACUAUUUUUGUCUUUUUUUUUGUUCUGGAGGUUGAAUAGGGUUAGUAGGUUUUUACUUAGCCCCUAACUGAAAUUGAAAUUGUCUUUUGUUCUACUGUGACCAGAAACUAUAUGAUAACCACAUUUUGAGAGCAAAAAUCAUUGUCUUUCUCUACUUUGUUACACCAGUUUUGUCUGUGGGAAUAUAUACCCUUCCCUGUAACAUAUAACAAUUUGAUCGUCAUUGUUAUUGAUGGUCUGUAUAGUGAUGUUUGCUGACGGUUGGAAGCUGUAAUCAUACAGAUCAUUACAGAGCUGAAUGUGUUUGUUAUAUCUGAAUCAUAGAUCGUACAAAAUUGUUACAAUUUAUGAGUCUCUCCCAAGAAUAAUACAAACUACUCAAUGUCGGCGGUCUUCUCAUUCAUCAUCAGACAUUUCGUCGUAGCAAGACUCAGACCCAUCGUCGUCCUCGGACUCUUCUUCUUGCCCGGAUUCUUCUUCACCUGCAUCGUUCAUCAGCAUCUCUAGAGGAACCAUGCUAGCACCUUUGCCGCGGUAAAGAACACCGGUUCGCAUCACGUGAUAGAACUUCUCCCAAUUUAUUAUGUCUGGCUUUUAAUAUAAUUACAGAUACAUGAUGAAGCCAAAAAAUUUUCUUACCAAACUGGUGUAAGAGUGGUUGUUGCUUAUGGAGGGGCACCGAUUGUGAAUCAGGUUUGUCAUUAUCUAGUUUCAGUAAGUCUGAAAAUGAGAUUUUUACCUUGCGUUUUAAACUCUUUUUUGUUUGCUUGAACAGUUGAGAGAACUUGAAAGGGGAGUUGAUAUUCUUGUAGCAACUCCGGGUCGAUUGGUUGACUUGCUUGAGAGGGCUAGGGUGUCAUUGCAGAUGAUCAGAUUCUUGGCACUUGAUGAGGCUGAUAGGAUGCUUGAUAUGGGAUUUGAGCCUCAGAUCAGAAAGAUAGUUGAACAAUUGGACAUGCCCCCAUCUGGGAUGAGGCAGACUAUGCUUUUCAGUGCUACUUUUCCUAAAGAAAUACAGGUUUGUUCAAUUCUGUUUCUCCUCAGAUAAACUUUGUUAUUAUUUCUAAUGAAUAGACCGUACAGUGAUAUUUAUUUAUGGUAGUACGGUACCUUACUGUAGUUUUGGAUUUGUACACGCAGAGACUUGCUUCAGAUUUCCUAUCAAAUUACAUUUUCUUGGCUGUUGGAAGGGUUGGCUCCAGCACUGACUUGAUUCUUCAGAGAGUUGAGUAUGUUCAAGAUGCUGACAAGAGAAGCCAUCUCAUGGACCUUCUUCAUGCACAGAAAGAAAGUGAAGCUAAUAGCAAGGUAAUGUUUUCUCCUUACCUGUAGAAGCUGUUUGUGUUAUCCCAGGAUGAGUAUGUUGUUUAUGAGCAUAUUGGCCUUUUCUUGUACCUGCAGCCAUCCUUGACAUUAGUGUUUGUGGAGACCAAGAAGGGAGCUGAUUCUCUGGAGUAUUGGUUGUGUCAAAACGGGUUCCCUGCUACUACAAUUCAUGGUGAUAGAUCACAGCAGGUCAGUUUCUUCUAAAUUGUACUACAAAAGGGGCAGGCAUGUUUCGAUUUUCUGUAGUGGUUCAAUGCUUAAAGCGCUGCAAGCUGAAUGAGAUAAUUAAUUUUACUACAAUGCAACGCUAGGGUUGUAGUUCAUAUUGUUCUGUAUGAAACACCAAUUGACGAGGAAGGGCAUAGGCGAACGUUUGAAACCAUGUUACAGUUGUAUACUGUACACAUUGUAUAUGCUAGUGGCUCUAUUGUAUGAAUAAUUACUUUUGAAGGUUCCACGGCCCUGAAAUUUAAGAACAAAUACCGGAGAAUUCAAGGCGGCUAAUAAUUUUCGUUGGACUUUUCUGCAGGAAAGAGAACUUGCAUUGAGAUCCUUCAAGAGUGGAAGGACCCCAAUUCUAGUGGCGACAGACGUAGCUGCCCGUGGUCUGGACAUACCUCACGUGGCUCAUGUCGUCAACUUCGAUCUCCCCAACGACAUCGACGAUUACGUCCACAGAAUAGGCCGUACCGGGCGAGCUGGGAAAUCCGGCCUGGCUACAGCCUUCUUCAACGACAACAACGGCUCUUUGGCAAGGUCGCUGGUCGAGUUGAUGCAAGAAGCAAAUCAAGAAGUUCCUGCCUGGUUAGUCCGAUACGCUUCACGCUCGUCGUACGGCGGAGGCAAGAAUCGCCGAUCUGGCGGAGGGCGCUUUGGUGGACGAGACAUCAGAAGGGAAGGAUCCUUCAGUAGGGGAGGUGGAGACUAUCACGGUGGGGGCGGCGCUUUCAGUAGAGGUGGUGGAGAUUAUCACGGUGGAGGAGGAGGCAGCGGCGGCGGUGGUUACGGAGUCCCCGGAGGUGGUUAUGGCAUGGGUUCAGGUGUGACUAGCGCUUGGGAUUAGGCCAGUUGGCGAGCAACCAUUCUGGUGGUUGAAAAAGCUCCCCAAGUCAUAUUUUAUUGUUUGGUUUGAACACGUUGGUUCCGAAACUUACAUUAGAACGAAGUAUAAGAAAUUUUCUUAGUAGGUUCGCUAACAAUGAAGGAGUUGUGUACUAUUUUUUUGUCUUCUUUUUGUUCUGGAGGUUGAAUAGGGUUAGUAGGUUUUUACUUAGCCCCCCAACUGAAAUUGAAUUUGUCCUUUGUUCUGCUGUGACAAAAAACUAUAUGAUAACCCACAUUUUGAGUGAAAAAAUCAUUGCCUUUCUCUACUUUGUUACACGAAUUUUGUCUGUGGGAAUAUAUACACUUCCCUGUAA